Molecule: ribosomal RNA, 468 nt
Filed under: uncultured bacterium
Lineage: Bacteria
Description: partial 16S ribosomal RNA
Rfam family: Bacterial small subunit ribosomal RNA
Source: RNAcentral
GACGAACGCUGGCGGCGUGCUUAACACAUGCGAGUCGAACGGAAAGGCCCUGCUUUUGUGGGGUGCUCGAGUGGCGAACGGGUGAGUAACACGUGAGUAACCUGCCCUUGACUUUGGGAUAACUUCAGGAAACUGGGGCUAAUACAGGAUAGGAGCUCCUGCUGCAUGGGGGGGGUUGGAAAGUUUCGGCGGUUGGGGAUGGACUCGCGGCUUAUCAGCUUGUUGGUGGGGUAGUGGCUUACCAAGGCUUUGACGGGUAGCCGGCCUGAGAGGGUGACCGGCCACAUUGGGACUGCGGUACGGCCCAGUCUCCUACGGGACGCAGCAGUGGGGAAUAUUGCACAAUGGGCGGAAGCCUGAUGCAGCAACGCCGCGUGCGGGAUGACGUCCUUCGGGUUGUAAACCGCUUUGGCCGGUGACGAAGCGUGAGUGACGGUAAUGGGUAAAGAAGCACCGGCUAACUACGUG